RNAcentral lists this small nuclear RNA (20 nucleotides) under Arabidopsis thaliana (thale cress). Its description in RNAcentral is "snRNA_17558". Lineage: Eukaryota; Viridiplantae; Streptophyta; Magnoliopsida; Brassicales; Brassicaceae. The record is from RNAcentral.
UACCACCGAGCGGCGGGUAG